UCGAGAAUCUUUGUCAAUGGACGAAAGUCUGAACAAGCGACGCCGCGUGCGGGAUGAAGGCCUUCGGGUUGUAAACCGCUGUCGUAGGGGAACAAAUGUAGAGGGGUUCUCCCCUUUAUUUGAGUGAUCCUAGGAGGAAGGAGAGGCUAAGCUCGUGCCAGCAGCCGCGGUAAGACGAGCUCUCCAAACGUUAUUCGGAAUCACUGGGCUUAAAGAGUUCGUAGGCGGCUCAGCAGGUCAGGUGUGAAAUCCCACAGCUCAACUGUGGAACUGCGCUUGAAACCGCUGGGCUUGAGGGAGACAGAGGUAAGCGGAACAGAUGGUGGAGCGGUGAAAUGCGUUGAUAUCAUCUGGAACACCGGUGGCGAAAGCGGCUUACUGGGUCUCUUCUGACGCUGAG
RNAcentral lists this ribosomal RNA (400 nucleotides) under uncultured bacterium. RNAcentral describes it as "bacterial SSU rRNA". It matches the Rfam family "Bacterial small subunit ribosomal RNA", at positions 355 to 750 of the family's 1533-position model. The record is from RNAcentral.